UNCCAGGAUGGAGACAGAGGUGCAGGGGA
Molecule: non-coding RNA, 29 nt
Filed under: Mus musculus (house mouse)
Lineage: Eukaryota; Metazoa; Chordata; Mammalia; Rodentia; Muridae
Source: RNAcentral